This 74-nucleotide transfer RNA is filed under the name Pseudomonadota bacterium. RNAcentral's name for it is "tRNA-Arg". It matches the Rfam family "tRNA". From Rfam's summary of the family: Transfer RNA (tRNA) molecules are approximately 80 nucleotides in length. Their secondary structure includes four short double-helical elements and three loops (D, anti-codon, and T loops). Further hydrogen bonds mediate the characteristic L-shaped molecular structure. tRNAs have two regions of fundamental functional importance: the anti-codon, which is responsible for specific mRNA codon recognition, and the 3' end, to which the tRNAs corresponding amino acid is attached (by aminoacyl-tRNA synthetases). tRNAs cope with the degeneracy of the genetic code in two manners: having more than one tRNA (with a specific anti-codon) for a particular amino acid; and 'wobble' base-pairing, i.e. permitting non-standard base-pairing at the 3rd anti-codon position. Lineage: Bacteria; Pseudomonadati; Pseudomonadota. The record is from RNAcentral. RNAcentral also lists the same sequence under 3 other names.
GUCCCCGUAGCUCAGAAGGAUAGAGCACAGGAUUCCUAAUCCUGAGGUCGGCGGUUCGAAUCCGCCCGGGGACG